Molecule: non-coding RNA, 21 nt
Filed under: Caenorhabditis elegans
Lineage: Eukaryota; Metazoa; Nematoda; Chromadorea; Rhabditida; Rhabditidae
Source: RNAcentral
UUAACUGUCUGCUUUCAAUUC